Molecule: unclassified non-coding RNA, 144 nt
Filed under: uncultured Sporobolomyces
Lineage: Eukaryota; Fungi; Basidiomycota
Description: sequence contains ITS1
Source: RNAcentral
GUGAAUAAUAGGGUGUCUCAUUUAACUGAGAACCCGAUCUUCCACUUUCUAACCCUGUGCAUCUGUUAAUGGCGAGCAGUCUUCGGAUUGUGAGCCUUCACUUAUAAACACUAGUCUAUGAAUGUAAACUUUUAUAACUAUAUA